GUGAUUAUAGUUUUAACCAAAACAUUAGACUGUGAUUCUAAAAAUAGAAGUUUAAACCUUCUUACUCACC
This 70-nucleotide transfer RNA is filed under the name Eudromia elegans (elegant crested-tinamou). Its description in RNAcentral is "tRNA-His". It matches the Rfam family "tRNA". From Rfam's summary of the family: Transfer RNA (tRNA) molecules are approximately 80 nucleotides in length. Their secondary structure includes four short double-helical elements and three loops (D, anti-codon, and T loops). The record is from RNAcentral. Lineage: Eukaryota; Metazoa; Chordata; Aves; Tinamiformes; Tinamidae.